Molecule: small RNA, 610 nt
Filed under: Pan troglodytes (chimpanzee)
Lineage: Eukaryota; Metazoa; Chordata; Mammalia; Primates; Hominidae
Description: retained intron
Source: RNAcentral
AGCUGCUGCCAUGGAGCCAGCCGGGCUAGAGCGGCUCCUACGGGAGCUGCUGCUACCGGACACCGAGCGCAUCCGUCGGGUACGGAGCAGGCGUAACCCGGCCAGGGCGAGCGGGAGGUUGCGGGAAAGGCCCGACUCUCACCCCUAGCUUCCCCCCAGGCCACGGAACAGCUCCAGAUCGUUCUUCGGGCCCCCGCCGCUUUGCCGGCUCUCUGCGACCUGCUAGCCUCGGCGGCCGACCCCCAGGUGAGACCCCUGACUCUCCCCUCCGAGCUUCCCACUGUACGCCACCGGUCAGGCCCCAAUAUUCGCCCACUGCGGUCCGCUCAGCACCUUCCUGCCCGGACCCCCACGUGCUUGCUUCCUCGUCCUAGAUCCGCCAGUUUGCGGCCGUGCUGACCCGCAGACGACUGAACACCCGCUGGCGACGGCUGGCGGCGGAGCAACGGGAGAGCCUCAAGUCCCUGAUCCUGACGGCCCUGCAGAGAGAAACAGAGUAAGUACCUACCCCCUUCUCUCGGGAUCUUGACGACUUUGUCUAGGUUUCUGCCUUCCUUUUCAGCUCCAGGCUGGGACUUGUGGGGCAGGGACUUCAGUUCUAGACGCAAGG